CCCGCUGAACUUAAGCAUAUCAAUAAGCGGAGGAAAAGAAACCAACAGGGAUUGCCUCAGUAACGGCGAGUGAAGCGGCAACAGCUCAAAUUUGAAAUCUGGCUUUCGGGUCCGAGUUGUAAUUUGUAGAGGAUGUUUCGAACGUGGUCCGGUCUAAGUUUCUUGGAACAGAACGUCAUAGAGGGUGAGAAUCCCGUAUGUGACUGGGUGCUUUCGCUCAUGUGAAGCUCUUUCGACGAGUCGAGUUGUUUGGGAAUGCAGCUCAAAAUGGGUGGUAAAUUUCAUCUAAAGCUAAAUAUUGGCCAGAGACCGAUAGCGCACAAGUAGAGUGAUCGAAAGAUGAAAAGCACUUUGGAAAGAGAGUUAAACAGUACGUGAAAUUGUUGAAAGGGAAGCGCUUGCAACCAGACUUGCGCGCUGAUGAUCAUCCGGGCUUCUGCCCGGUGCACUCGUCUGCGCUCAGGCCAGCAUCGGUUUCGGUGGUGGGAUAAAGGCCUUGGGAAUGUGGCUCCUCUCGGGGAGUGUUAUAGCCCUCGGUGCAAUGCCGCCAACCGGGACCGAGGACCGCGCUUCGGCUAGGAUGCUGGCGUAAUGGUUGUAAGCGACCCGUCUUGAAACACGG
RNAcentral lists this ribosomal RNA (622 nucleotides) under uncultured fungus. RNAcentral describes it as "eukaryotic LSU rRNA". It matches the Rfam family "Eukaryotic large subunit ribosomal RNA", at positions 24 to 664 of the family's 3401-position model. Lineage: Eukaryota; Fungi. The record is from RNAcentral.